RNA transcript from Daphnia pulicaria, 1025 nucleotides. It is a transcript of the gene named E3 ubiquitin-protein ligase Topors-like, with no coding region annotated. NCBI's taxonomy places the organism in Eukaryota, Metazoa, Arthropoda, Branchiopoda, Diplostraca, Daphniidae. The transcript is spliced from 5 exons. The record is from RefSeq and is a predicted model, not a curated record.
AUCAAAUGUAAAUUGUAAAACUUUCUAAUAACAACAAAAAAGCAAUUGAAAAUCAAAUUAAAAAAAAAUAUUAAACCAAGAUCACAUAAAUAGUAGACCUAACUCCUAAUUCAAAACUUACUGUGUUUGGCAUCGUCGAGUAUCGAGUCUGAGUGGAAAAAAUUAAAUCCUCUCAAAACUGUUUGCUGUUUGCAAUUUGUUUCCAAGCUCUUAAAACGAUCCAUCAUGAGUUUCAUGAGGAAUUCUGUUGAUGAGACAUGGACAGGGCCAUCAGAUUCACCGUGUGCAAUAUGUCUGGGGAAGGUUGAAAACAAGUGCUUUGCCAAUAAUUGUCUUCAUGAGUUCUGCUACAGUUGUUUGUUUAGAUGGUCCAAGGAAAAAACUAAAUGCCCGCUAUGUAUGCAACCAUUCAGCUCAAUUAUUCACAACAUCAGAUCUAGCAAUGACUAUGAUGAACAAAUAAUCCAGUCAACCGAUGAUAUUGUGCCAGCUGAUCCUUUUUUACAGCAGCUUUCACAGUUUCAUUUGUCUACCCAGGCAAACCUUCAAACCCAAGAAUCUACACUCCAAACACAUUCAGACUCGUGUCAUUCUGAUCGCAUGAGUGAGCUUCAUCAAGCUCUAUUGGAAACGAUCAUUGAACAGCAAUAUGUCAAUAGCAUGUCUGAUUUUGUUACUAAUCUGUUGGAGGAAUAUGAAAUGAUGGGAUUUUGAGAGUGUAGAAGUAAUGAGAAGAGGAAGGUUUCUUUUACGCUUUCCGACGACGAAUAUUAUGUCUGAAGAUCUUCCCAUAUCUGGCCCAAGACUUGCGAGGCACAAGCGACCUUUACUGCUUUCUUUUUUCUGUUAUUAGGGAUUUUUCUCGAAUCUUUAUAGGUGCACUGUGGAAAUUUGUUAUGGGAAACUUCCUUUGUCAUGUAUUCCAGUCGUUAUCAUCUUCGUUGAAUUUUCACUAGCUCCUCCUUCUGCAGGUUACCUUAAUUUACAAUAUUCGUCCACGGUUUACCAAAUGCGUUCUACAGAAA